GUGGGGAAUCUUGCGCAAUGGGCGAAAGCCUGACGCAGCCAUGCCGCGUGAAUGAUGAAGGUCUUAGGAUUGUAAAAUUCUUUCACCGGGGACGAUAAUGACGGUACCCGGAGAAGAAGCUCCGGCUAACUUCGUGCCAGCAGCCGCGGUAAUACGAAGGGGGCUAGCGUUGCUCGGAAUUACUGGGCGUAAAGGGCGCGUAGGCGGAUCGUUAAGUCAGGGGUGAAAUCCCAGAGCUCAACUCUGGAACUGCCCUUGAUACUGGCGAUCUUGAGUGUGAGAGAGGUAUGUGGAACUCCGAGUGUAGAGGUGAAAUUCGUAGAUAUUCGGAAGAACACCAGUGGCGAAGGCGACAUACUGGCUCAUUACUGACGCUGAGGCGCGAAAGCGUGGGGAGCAAACAGGAUUAGAUACCCUAGUAGUCC
Molecule: ribosomal RNA, 425 nt
Filed under: uncultured bacterium
Lineage: Bacteria
Description: partial 16S ribosomal RNA
Rfam family: Bacterial small subunit ribosomal RNA
Source: RNAcentral